RNAcentral lists this RNase P RNA (319 nucleotides) under Vibrio cholerae. RNAcentral's name for it is "partial RNase P RNA component class A". It matches the Rfam family "Bacterial RNase P class A", at positions 27 to 354 of the family's 367-position model. Rfam says of the family: Ribonuclease P (RNase P) is a ubiquitous endoribonuclease, found in archaea, bacteria and eukarya as well as chloroplasts and mitochondria. Its best characterised activity is the generation of mature 5'-ends of tRNAs by cleaving the 5'-leader elements of precursor-tRNAs. Cellular RNase Ps are ribonucleoproteins. Lineage: Bacteria; Pseudomonadati; Pseudomonadota; Gammaproteobacteria; Vibrionales; Vibrionaceae. The record is from RNAcentral.
ACGACGCUCUUCCGAUCUCUGCAGGUGAGGAAAGUCCGGGCUUCGCAGGGCAGGAUGCCGGAUAACGUCCGGUGGAGGUGACUCCCAGACCAGUGCAACAGAAAUAAACCGCCAUGGCUUGCUGAGGUAAGGGUGGAAAGGCAGUGUAAGAGACUACCGCCGUCCUGGUAACAGGCCGGGCACAUGUAAACUCCAUUUGAAGCAAGACCGAAUAGAAAGCGAUACGGCUGCCCGUCGUGCUUUCAGGUGGGUCGCUUGAGCCUUAUGGCAACGUAAGGCCUAGACAGAUGAUUACCCAAUGACAUAACCCGGCUUAUUG